This 3704-nucleotide long non-coding RNA is filed under the name Mus musculus (house mouse). Its description in RNAcentral is "long non-coding RNA chr2:52866643-52870347". The record is from RNAcentral. Lineage: Eukaryota; Metazoa; Chordata; Mammalia; Rodentia; Muridae.
GACCAGAUAAAACAUUCCAGUGAUGGAGAACAGAGUAAAAGAAGGUCUGGAUUGGGAUGGGACUAUUAAAGGAUCAUAAUUUUGUUGUUGUUCGGGAAAGUAGACAGGAUGACUUUGACAAUAGCAGAACAAUUGGAAACAAUUUCCCUUUCUCUCCCUCCUUACCCACAGUCCUUCCUUCUUUGGAGAAGUUCAGGCUACCCUCAAACUGACUAUAUAGGCAAUGAUAAACUUCUCUUUCCACCUCUGGAGAGCUGGGAUUUCCAUCACUCAACCAAUGGAGCCACACAGCAGCCCUUAUUUAUCUAUAAGACCCUGUUGCUUCCUGUUCCUAGAGAAGGAAGCAUUAUGGUGACCAGUGGUAGAGGUUGGCUAUUGAUGUUCCUAUUUGCAUUAUAGAAGCACUCAAUUUGUCCAGUGAGGCCAACACUACCAUCUUGUGUAUGAACUCUAGGGAACCAAAACACCAGAGCAGGAAGUCAGGUGAGCAGCUUUAUGAGUUAGCUGCUUUUGUGGCUCUUUCAGCUUCUGCUAUGGUCAGCACUGCUGAUGUCUUGAGAAAACUUUCUCCUUCUGGUCACACUGUCCUGAUAAUAGGUAUUCAUUAUUUCCAUGGACAACUUUCCUUUCUGGUCAACUAAGGAAGCAUUGCAGCCCCGAUGUGUUGGAACUAAGGUGCCAUGAACUUAUCUGCUGCCCACUAAUCAGACCUCCCAGGCAUAAACCUCAAGCAUUCAUCACGGUGUGGCCUUCUGCUGGCCCUACCUAGUAAAGACAGCUAGGCCUGAGCACGGUCAGCAGGAGCACCAGGAGAAGUUCUCAUCUGUGCUUCUCUCAGGGAAGUGAAGAUCAGCAAAGACUCGAGACCAACAAGCAUUGCACAGCUAGCUGUACCAGCAAGCCAAGCUCAGCCUCAGUCACUGUUGAGUCCUGUUUAUACCCUCCAAACAUCACAUGUCCUCCACAGGUCUUGCCUCAGCAUGUGCAUCUUUCGUGGCUGUUAUCACUCUGUCAAUCAGCCCAAGUUCUGCAGAAGCAAUAAAAAACUGCAGCACACCACCAGAAGUUUUUUUGGUGCGUUUCUCUCUAUGGAGCCCUGACAAAUGCAGCUCAUCUAUGCAAUGUAAGGCAGGCCAAUACAUGCAUGCUGUUAGCAAAGAAGCCUUCAUCACGUGUCCUUUCGCAUGCUUGCUUUAGCAGGACAUCCAUUCAUCUGCGUCUACUUCAGCUAAAUGUUCUUUCAGGAGUCUGCCUUAGCCUUUCGCCUGUGUCCACUUCAGCUAAGUGUUCCUUCACGUGUUUGCUCCAGCAAAACAACAUCCAACCGACUCUCCAAAGAACCCUCAAGUCUCCACUUCAGGCGUGCAGUGCCAGUUCUCAGCUGCUGUGUUUGUGGUUAUAAAGGUCAGGUUUCAUACUCUGCUUUCCAGCUUGGGUUCUGCUCAGACUUUUCAUCCAAGUGACCACAGUUAGGUCGGACCUGCCUUCUUGUCACAUGGCUUACAAGACCCCCGCUUGCAGCUUGCUUUGUCUCUGUUCACUUUUCCUCAUAGCUUUCCUCAGAGAUUGAUUCUCCUAUGUGGAAAACAUUCCCCGACUUCUCCGACAUUCACCUAGCCUUCAAAGUUCCACUGAAACCCCACUCGACUCUCUCUGUGUGCUCUUCCAGGCUCCUAUCAGCUUGGAGAAGGUGGGAAAACAAUUCCCUUGGCUUUGAUCUCUUUAUUUUAUGAAUCAGCUCUUACUCACAAGGCUCUGGUUAAAUAGCACCCUUGUGAGGUGUGGCUGUUCCAGUGGGGGCUGCCUGUCGAUGUGGCUUUGUAGUUGGCUUUUCAUAGUCUCAGCCGGCUGUUUACAUCUUUGUUUUAUCUGCUUCUUCACACUUGGGGCUCUUGGAAGGCAGAGUCCUGGCAGCUGCUUCUGUAUCACAGAACCUGGUCUGAGAGGGUCCCGGCACAGACCCUCUGAUUGCGGAACUCAGUCGGCUGAAAGAAGACCGAGAAUCGUAGUAGCUGCCUGAGAGACUAUUGAGCAGACCACACCGUGCUCACUGUUAGUUGCAUGCACUUGACUUUGUAUUGAAGUGAUACUGUCAUUUUCUUAGUCACCUUGGUAUCCCCCAUGACAUUCGAUUGAGUUAGUGUCCCUCUAAGAGUAGGGCAUCCUGUGUGGGAUUUUUUUUUUUCUUUUGUUCGUUUGUUGUUUGAGUUUGAAGGGAAGCACCUUAGAUGAGCUGCAUCUGUUUUCGAAAUGCUUUCAGAUCGUCGCUGUGGCUGUCAGUAAGGGUUUUAAAGAAACCAGGCAAGUGGGGGGUGAGAGUAUGAGGCUUGAAGUUAUAUACGGGAGUCCAAUUCUGUUGUCCUGUUAAAACAUUUACAUUCCACUGUAAAGAAAGGUGACGCUUGCAUUCCUCAUUUGUGAUCUUUCUCACUUCCUGAGCAUCGUGGUAUGUACCUUCAACAGUUUUUCCAGGGGGGUUGCUAUCUUCCUUCACUAAUGGGAUGGUGGGAUUCGGAUAGUGGCCACUACAAAGAAACGGAGGUAUGAUUUGAACUCAGGUCUGUUGGUAAGGGAACCUGCUUCUUCCUAUUGUCUGAUAAUGCAUUUUUUUCCCUGAAUUAACUGUAAGGUGUCAUUAAAUAUAUGCUUGCUCAUUCUUUGUUCUGUGUAAUAGCUGCUUUAGAUAUUUGCAGGGUCUGUCAUAUAUAAUCUGAUCCAGAGAUCUUCAUCAUCAGUAUAGUUGCAGAUGGAUUAAGCCCUGAGGGUUACACAGAAAGCUAUGCUGGAUUCCCAGUGUUUGAUUUCCUUGGAAGGAAGCCAGAAGAUGCUUCUGAGAGCCCAGCCCUAUCUCAGUCACCCUGUACUACUGUAGUUCUAGAUGGUGCAUUUUUUGCUUCUUUUAGUGUGGUUUAAGAUAGGCUUAUUUAAUCAGGCAGUCCAAAUAAUGUAUUGAGUCCUCACUGUGUGCUAGGUGGUACUGUUGGCCCUGGAGGGUGUUGAAUGAGGCAGAGCAUGCAGUACCAUCAAGGAGUUCACAUUUUAGUGGGAAGAAUAGCCAUCAGCCAGACAUGGAAGGAUACACAGACAAGGGCAUGAGACAGCUCAGAUGCUGGAGGCCAUUGGCCAAUCGGGCUGUCAAAUAGAGCAGUGUGAAGUGGUAUGGUCUCUGCAAGAAAGCUUUGUGGGGUAUGAAGAAGUAGCUCCUGUGUGAGGAAAGAGCCCUCAGGCUGAAGGACAGCUCAGGCUGAAGGACAGGGCUGUGGUCUGUUUCUUCCCUCACACUCAGGACAGGCUUCCACAGGCCUUGAGACUAGCAUAGGAAAGGGUCUGUGGGAUGCACCCACCCUACAGUCACUCUACAGUCAGACGGUGGAUGCUCAGGGUGGAGGCUGUGGAAAGAGUUUACCACUUUAACUGUUCUGGCAGCUGUGUUUUCUAGGCACAAUUCUGCUUGUUGUUAAGUCUGUGUGAUUUGUAAACUCAUGAUCAUUUCAGGUUUGUCAGUGUUCUAGACUGAUGAAGAUGACAGGCUAGGGAGUGGAGUACUGGCUAGUGUGAGUUACUGUCCUGCAUGAAGGCUGAGGCUUGGAAUAGUGUAGUUUGUCUCUUUGAAGCUGCAUGUGGGCCUGGGCAUUCCAGGUAGAAAUUAUAUUAUUGCUGUAAGUAGCCCUGAUUCUUCCCCUGUUGAUUUUUAAAAGUUUUCU